CAUGUUACCUGUUAAAAUUUCAUAAAUAUUUGUUUUCAGAUGAUAAACAGGCAGAUACACCUGAGACUCAUGAGGAAAUGGAAAAGGAAGUAAAAAAACAGAAAAAGAGCCAAACGAGCCUUUGGUAAUGAAACUACUAAAGGCAGUAUUCAAGAAAAGAAGACACUAUGUUCAAACAUCUAAUUCAAGACCAUCACAGACAGAUAGUCUGCCCUAAAGACA
Molecule: long non-coding RNA, 222 nt
Filed under: Mytilus galloprovincialis (Mediterranean mussel)
Lineage: Eukaryota; Metazoa; Mollusca; Bivalvia; Mytilida; Mytilidae
Source: RNAcentral